UACAGAGGGUGCAAGCGUUAAUCGGAAUUAUUGGGCGUAAAGCGUCUGUAGGUGGCCCAUUAAGUCUCCUGUGAAAGCCCCGCGCUCAACGUGGGAACGGCAGGGGAUACUGAAGGGCUCGAAUGUGACAGAGGGUGGUGGAAUUCCCGGUGUAGCAGUGAAAUGCGUAGAGAUCGGGAGGAACAUCCAUGGCGAAGGCAGCCACCUGGGUCAACAUUGACACUGAGAGACGAAAGCGUGGGGAGCAUACAGG
Molecule: ribosomal RNA, 253 nt
Filed under: uncultured bacterium
Lineage: Bacteria
Description: partial 16S ribosomal RNA
Rfam family: Bacterial small subunit ribosomal RNA
Source: RNAcentral